GUUUCUAUAGUUAAAGUUUAACGGCAGCUUUUCAGGCUGCAGAUCUCAGAGAGAGGCUGAGUGGAAACC
Molecule: transfer RNA, 69 nt
Filed under: Suthora fulvifrons
Lineage: Eukaryota; Metazoa; Chordata; Aves; Passeriformes; Sylviidae
Description: tRNA-Glu
Source: RNAcentral